Molecule: ribosomal RNA, 672 nt
Filed under: Triticum aestivum (bread wheat)
Lineage: Eukaryota; Viridiplantae; Streptophyta; Magnoliopsida; Poales; Poaceae
Description: partial small subunit ribosomal RNA
Source: RNAcentral
AUGUUCCCACAGCGUUGUCUCUCCUCGCGGCCGGCCACCAACUGGCGACCAACCGCGGACCAAGACGAGCAGCGAGCUCUCUUGGUGUGCUCAGCUCUGCUUCGUCCGAGAUCCCCUCCUCCUAUCUCGGCCCAGCGCCGUCUUCUUCCAUCCCGUCGAUAUCUCUCCCCCGCUCCGCUCCCCAUCACGAACAGCUGGUCGAAGCGAGCGCCUGGUCUAUCAAUGGCGGAGGAGACCGAGACCGAGAAGCAGCUCUUCUCUCCGUCGGAUGUCUCGCUCCACGCAUCCACGAAGGACUGCUGGGUCGUCAUCCAUGGCAAGGUGUACGAUGUGACCAAAUUCCUCGAGGACCACCCCGGCGGAGAGGAUGUCCUCCUCCAUGCAUCUGCCUCUGGGGAUGCCACGGAGGCUUUUGAAGAUGUGGGCCACAGCACAUCAGCCAUCAGCAUGAUGAGCAGCUACCUGAUUGGAAGCAUCGAGGACUUUGUGCCUCCCAGUGCAACGAAGGACGCCACAGUUGGUGGCAGUGAUGUGCUUCCAGAUUCCAGAACAAUGAAGAGGAACAAAGGCUCUCCUGCUCCAAACACAUUUCUGGACUUCGUGCUCCCUUUAUGCAUGCUUGUCCUGGCCUUUGUAGCUUGGUACUACCUAACCUUCGUGGCCGAGAGCUAG